CCUACGGGAGGCAGCAGUGGGGAAUCUUGCGCAAUGGGCGAAAGCCUGACGCAGCAACGCCGCGUGCGGGAUGACGGCCUUCGGGUUGUAAACCGCUUUCAGUGGGGACGAACCAAGACGGUACCCACAGAAGAAGCCCCGGCCAACUACGUGCCAGCAGCCGCGGUAACACGUAGGGGGCGAGCGUUGUCCGGAUUUAUUGGGCGUAAAGAGCUCGUAGGCGGUUCGAUAAGUCGGGUGUGAAACCUCCAGGCUCAACCUGGAGACGCCACCCGAUACUGUCGUGACUAGAGUCCAGUAGGGGAGCGUGGAAUUCCUGGUGUAGCGGUGAAAUGCGCAGAUAUCAGGAGGAACACCAGUGGCGAAGGCGGCGCUCUGGGCUGGAACUGACGCUGAGGAGCGAAAGCGUGGGGAGCGAACAGGAUUAGAUACCCUGGUAGUCCACGCCGUAAACGUUGGGUACUAGGUGUGGGGUCUUAUCAACGGAUUCCGUGCCGCAGCUACGACAUAACGUACCCGUCCGUCGGGUAGGUACGGCCGGCCGACGGACGUAAACCGUUAAAACGGUAAAGUUAGUACGGCGUGAGACGUCGCCGAACGGACGACCGACCGAGGGGAGGUAGG
RNAcentral lists this ribosomal RNA (624 nucleotides) under uncultured bacterium. Its description in RNAcentral is "bacterial SSU rRNA". The stretch from base 1 to 521 matches the Rfam family "Bacterial small subunit ribosomal RNA", at positions 338 to 873 of the family's 1533-position model. The record is from RNAcentral.